AAUAUACAAGUGAACAAGAGAGAGAGUUCUAUCUAUUACCUCACAUUCAACAUUCAUCUUCAUCACGUUUACAUUUUCAUCUCCCAAAAUAUAAUACAUGGUUUACAACUUCAUCUCCACAUAUAUAUAAGCAACUCUCUAAUAUAUACAUAUCAACAUCUCUAUAUACACGGGAUACUCUAAUGCAACAGGAAUGCCGCUA
RNAcentral lists this long non-coding RNA (202 nucleotides) under Ananas comosus (pineapple). RNAcentral describes it as "long non-coding RNA (ACOM_LNC034725)". The record is from RNAcentral. Lineage: Eukaryota; Viridiplantae; Streptophyta; Magnoliopsida; Poales; Bromeliaceae.